Molecule: ribosomal RNA, 293 nt
Filed under: Escherichia coli
Lineage: Bacteria; Pseudomonadati; Pseudomonadota; Gammaproteobacteria; Enterobacterales; Enterobacteriaceae
Description: partial 23S ribosomal RNA
Rfam family: Bacterial large subunit ribosomal RNA
Source: RNAcentral
GGUUGAAGGUUGGGUAACACUAACUGGAGGACCGAACCGACUAAUGUUGAAAAAUUAGCGGAUGACUUGUGGCUGGGGGUGAAAGGCCAAUCAAACCGGGAGAUAGCUGGUUCUCCCCGAAAGCUAUUUAGGUAGCGCCUCGUGAAUUCAUCUCCGGGGGUAGAGCACUGUUUCGGCAAGGGGGUCAUCCCGACUUACCAACCCGAUGCAAACUGCGAAUACCGGAGAAUGUUAUCACGGGAGACACACGGCGGGUGCUAACGUCCGUCGUGAAGAGGGAAACAACCCAGACC